Molecule: unclassified non-coding RNA, 290 nt
Filed under: Entoloma brunneocinereum
Lineage: Eukaryota; Fungi; Basidiomycota; Agaricomycetes; Agaricales; Entolomataceae
Also listed under: 1 other name
Description: sequence contains ITS1 and 5.8S rRNA gene
Source: RNAcentral
UUGAAUGAACUUGGUUGGGUUGCUGCUGGCUCUCCGGAGCAUGUGCACACUCAUUCCAUCUUUAACCACCUGUGCACACAUUGUAGGCCUGAAAAGGAUCCACCCACCUCUUUUCGAGGAGGGCCUGGUUUUGAGAACUGCUGUGAAUGUCGGCUGUUCUUGUUUUUCAGGUCUAUGUUUUAAACAUAUACUCCUUGACAAGUAAUAGAAUGCUAGCUUAUUGGCCUUUUGUGCCUUUUUAAACUUAAUACAACUUUCAACAACGGAUCUCUUGGCUCUCGCAUCGAUGA